UCCACCCAUCCAUCCAUCUAUCCAUCCAUCCAUCCAUCCAUCCUUCCACUCACCCAUCUAUCCACCCACUCAUGUAUCCAUCCAUCCAUCCUUCCAUCCAUCCAUCCAUCCAUCCAUCCAUCCAUCCAUCCAUCCAUCCAUUCAUCCAUCCAUCCAUUUCUUCAUCGAGCUAAGAAAUCAGGGUCUCAAAUGCAAAUGUCUCCAGGAAACAGUAAUAUAAAUGAGAAAAUCUUGGUGAAUCCUGUGGCAAAAGGGAACCAUCACUAUCCUUCUCCUCCUCCUCAUCAACAUCAACAUAUCUGUCAUUUAUUGAAUGUGUCCAUUCAUCUUCCAUUCUUUCAACAUUUACUGAAGCCUGACUAUGCUAGUUAAGACCUGAUUGGCUUCUGUGGAUAUGAUCAAAGAAAACAGUGUUGCUGAAAACUCCUUUACACCAAUCUGUGUAUCUGGCUAAUGCCUAGCCUCUUACCCAGGGCCUUUUCUCUCUCUUCUCCUGAUGAACACAUUGAAAUUCUGUUGCAACAAAUGUGCUUGCUUGCCAAGGGCUGGAACCAAUAGGUGUCAGGUGAAGGGUUGUCAGAUCAGUGGUAUCAGGAGUAGGAGACAUCACUAAAAAUCUUAAAGAGAAGGAUCUAGGCACAUUCAAGCGUUUCCGGACUUUUUUCCUAGUGCGAAGUCAUGCAUGGGAGAUCAGAUACCAGGAGAAAGAACAGAACGUGGCUUACUGAAAGGAGAGGUCAUGAGUUAGGGGCCGAGGCCUAUGGCAGCUCCAGGGACAGCCUCAAGGCCUUCAAUCUGGGCAAAUCUGACCUUGUAAAACAACUCCUGAGAUACUCUCUCUGAUAGCAAUAAUCCUAAAUGGCAUUUACUGAACACCUACUAUAUACCAAACAUUGUUCUUUCCAUAUGUUGUCUCAUUGAAUUCUAUAGCGAGCUUUCAAGAGGUGAAUCACGUUAUCCAGCUCUGGAUGAGGAAAGAGACUCAGAUUCAAAGAACAUCGUGCCAUGUUAUGCGAGAUCACAUGACUGAUAAGAAGCAGGAUUAGGAUUGGAACUCAGGAUUUAGAGCCCAUAGUUAUCCCCAAAAUUUAGCACAUCAAAAUUCCUUGGGAGCUUUUCUACCCCAUUGAUUCUUAAUGAGUAAGAUCCCCAGGUGAUCCUGAUGCAGGUGUUUUUGCAGACCACACUCUGAUAAACUCCACCUGAACCUUGCUGUUUUGGGGGGGACUUCUUUUAUUUUUGCAGCAUCCUUUGGUUGCUCAUUGUCCUUAGGAAUGUGACAGUGCUCAGAGAAGAAUCAACAUGGGGCUGGGGGAGAGCCAGGGUAGCAGUUACUUACACAUGAACUUUUUGUUUGCAAAAAGUUUCAG
This 1370-nucleotide long non-coding RNA is filed under the name Pongo abelii (Sumatran orangutan). RNAcentral's name for it is "lincRNA". Lineage: Eukaryota; Metazoa; Chordata; Mammalia; Primates; Hominidae. The record is from RNAcentral.